RNAcentral lists this ribosomal RNA (468 nucleotides) under uncultured bacterium. Its description in RNAcentral is "partial 16S ribosomal RNA". It matches the Rfam family "Bacterial small subunit ribosomal RNA", at positions 28 to 507 of the family's 1533-position model. The record is from RNAcentral.
GACGAACGCUGGCGGCGUGCUUAACACAUGCAAGUCGAACGGAAAGGCCCUGCUUUUGUGGGGUGCUCGAGUGGCGAACGGGUGAGUAACACGUGAGUAACCUGCCCUUGACUUUGGGAUAACUUCAGGAAACUGGGGCUAAUACCGGAUAGGAGCUCCUGCUGCAUGGUGGGGGUUGGAAAGUUUCGGCGGUUGGGGAUGGACUCGCGGCUUAUCAGCUUGUUGGUGGGGUAGUGGCUUACCAAGGCUUUGACGGGUAGCCGGCCUGAGAGGGUGACCGGACCAACUAGGCUUGAGCUAAGGCACAGACUCCUCCGGGAGGCAGGAGUGGGGAAUAUUAUACAAUGGGAGGAAGCCUGAUGCAGUCCCGCCGUGCGGGGGAUGACGGCAUGCGGUUAGUAAACCGAUUCCGUUUGUUACGAAGCGUGAGUGACGGUAACGGGAAAAGAAGCACCGGCUAACUUCGUG